RNAcentral lists this ribosomal RNA (467 nucleotides) under uncultured bacterium. RNAcentral describes it as "partial 16S ribosomal RNA". It matches the Rfam family "Bacterial small subunit ribosomal RNA", at positions 28 to 507 of the family's 1533-position model. The record is from RNAcentral.
GAUGAACGCUGGCGGCGUGCUUAACACAUGCAAGUCGAACGAUGAAGCCCAGCUUGCUGGGUGGAUUAGUGGCGGACGGGUGAGUAACACGUGAGCAACCUGCCCCUGACUCUGGGAUAAGCGCUGGAAACGGCGUCUAAUACUGGAUAUGUCCCGUCACCGCAUGGUGUGCGGGUGGAAAGAUUUUUCGGUUGGGGAUGGGCUCGCGGCCUAUCAGCUUGUUGGUGAGGUAAUGGCUCACCAAGGCGUCGACGGGUAGCCGGCCUGAGAGGGUGACCGGCCACACUGGGACUGAGACACGGCCCAGACUCCUACGGGAGGCAGCAGUGGGGAAUAUUGCACAAUGGGCGGAAGCCUGAUGCAGCAACGCCGCGUGAGGGAUGACGGCCUUCGGGUUGUAAACCUCUUUUAGCAGGGAAGAAGCGAAAGUGACGGUACCUGCAGAAAAAGCACCGGCUAACUACGUG